AUUGAACGCUCGCGGGAUGCUUUACACAUGCAAGUCGAACGGCAGCGCGGACUUCGGUCUGGCGGCGAGUGGCGAACGGGUGAGUAAUGUAUCGGAACGUGCCCAGUAGCGGGGGAUAACUACGCGAAAGCGUAGCUAAUACCGCAUACGCCCUACGGGGGAAAGCCGGGGAUCGUAAGACCUUGCACUAUUUGAGCGGCCGAUAUCGGAUUAGCUAGUUGGUGAGGUAACGGCUAACCAAGGCGACGAUCCGUAGCUGGUUUGAGAGGACGACCAGCCACACUGGGACUGAGACACGGCCCAGACUCCUACGGGAGGCAGCAGUGGGGAAUUUUGGACAAUGGGGGCAACCCUGAUCCAGCCAUCCCGCGUGUGCGAUGAAGGCCUUCGGGUUGUAAAGCACUUUUGGCAGGAAAGAAACGUCGCGGGCUAAUACCCCGUGGAACUGACGGUACCUGCAGAAUAAGCACCGGCUAACUACGUG
This 484-nucleotide ribosomal RNA is filed under the name uncultured bacterium. Its description in RNAcentral is "partial 16S ribosomal RNA". It matches the Rfam family "Bacterial small subunit ribosomal RNA", at positions 30 to 507 of the family's 1533-position model. The record is from RNAcentral.